Molecule: ribosomal RNA, 507 nt
Filed under: uncultured Glomus
Lineage: Eukaryota; Fungi; Glomeromycota; Glomeromycetes; Glomerales; Glomeraceae
Description: SSU rRNA
Rfam family: Eukaryotic small subunit ribosomal RNA
Source: RNAcentral
AGCAGCCGCGGUAAUUCCAGCUCCAAUAGCGUAUAUUAAAGUUGUUGCAGUUAAAAAGCUCGUAGUUGAAUUUCGGGAUCAAAUUGUCGGUCGUGCCUCGGUACGAACUGGUAUUAUUGGUUCCUCCCUUCUGAAGAACCGCGAUGUCAUUAAUUUGGUGUCGCGGGGAAUCAGGACUGUUACUUUGAAAAAAUUAGAGUGUUUAAAGCAGGCUUACGCUUGAAUACAUUAGCAUGGAAUAAUGAAAUAGGACGUUUGAUUCUAUUUUGUUGGUUUCUAGGAUCGACGUAAUGAUUAAUAGGGAUAGUUGGGGGCAUUAGUAUUCAAUUGUCAGAGGUGAAAUUCUUGGAUUUAUUGAAGACUAACUACUGCGAAAGCAUUUGCCAAGGAUGUUUUCAUUAAUCAAGAACGAAAGUUAGGGGAUCGAAGACGAUCAGAUACCGUCGUAGUCUUAACCAUAAACUAUGCCGACUAGGGAUCGGAUGAUGUUAAUUUUUUAAUGACUCA